UAUGGUUUUCCCCCUAGUGAAGCCAGCAGCAAAGCUCUAGAGGAACCGCUGUUCCUAGGACCCCAGCACAAGAACGUGAGGUCUGCUGAUGUUUAGGUGAAGUUCUAUUAGGUGUCUUUUCUUAGUGGAAGCGUAAAAUGAGAAAAGGAAAGAGACUACUGUAUUCUGGUUAAGCGUGAUUCUUGCUGAUUCAGCUCUCGGACCUUUAAGUCACAAGUAGCAAAGCUGAGGAUCACAGAAAUGCACCUUAAAACCAUGCAGACAAGUUGCAGUUAAAAACACAGGCUUACUGGAAGAUGGAUACUACCCAGAGAGAAAAGCUGAAAAAAUCCUUUUGAUUUUAUCAAGUAUUGGAGGUUAGGCAAGACAGACCCCAGCAUCAGAGGAGAAUUUGCUUAUGGAUUGUUACUGGGAAAAGAAAGCAACAGUAAUCCAGUGAUGUGAAGAUGAUAAUGGAAAACUUGAUAGCUGGACUGCUAUGGUAAUUAACUAUGGAGCAGUUCAUAUUUUCCUUAAAGAAUGAGAAGAGGCCCAUCACGUCUUCUGAUUUCCUGUUCUCUUCCCUCUCGAAAGGAAAGGGUUAUUACCUGGGUUUGUGAUGUUUUAUGACUAUUGUUGACAUAGAUAUUCUUCAGGUUGGAGGCUGAUGCUAUCCUUAUAUUUUGUAUUCACGCUCUUCAAAGAGUCUGUACCUGCAUGUACUACUGUUCUUACUUUUAACCAGAGACUGGAAAUGUUCUGAAUUUUCUGAAUCUGUCAGACUAAAGUCAAUCUGCUUUUGAUUUAUGUUUUAAUUCCUUCUACAUUAUAGAUGUGCUAUUAGCUUCUCUUUAUUACUCAGUGCUCUCCUUGGUUACUCAUAGGUAAUGAGCUAUUCUUGUCCCCAGUAUGAGCCCCAGCAGCUUUUAUGAUUCUAAAAUGUAGGCCUUUAGUCCAGCAACUGUAUCGGUUUUAAGAUUUUAAUUAUCAAAUAGCAAAAAAAAAAAAAUAAAUAAAAUAAAAUAAAAUUAUUCAUUGAAAUGCUCGACUUUCUGGUAAGGCAAAAAAUAAAACAUAAAAAUUACUGAAUUAAAUGAAUAAAGCAGAAGGUUGUUCCUAUGCCAAAUUAUCAGCCAAUUCCUUAUUUCUUAUUUAAAUGCUCUGCAUACCAGCUUGGGGGGGGGAAAAAAAAAAAAAAAAAAAAAAAAUGAAAAAUUGGUUUUUGAAAAACUGAAAAAUAAUAUCAGCCUUUUGUUGCUAUUGUCAUGAAAAUUGCAUUCUUCAACAUUUCUAUGUUCAUAAGUUGAUCUUUGGUCACAGAGUUUGUGAUUGACACAUGGUGGCUGAGCAUUUAUUUUGGAAGAGAUGGAUGCUGGGUUGUUAUGCGUUCUGUCCACGUAUGAAUAGCAAAGUGUAUGAUGUAUUUUUUUGUUGUUUUCUAUAAUUUAAAAUCAAAUACUCUGUGAGGAAAAAAAAAUUGUAAAAGGGACUCUCAGAUGGUGUAAAAUGUGUUCACUCAGCUAAUAGGGCAUGAAGCUGACAGGGACGUGCUGACUUAAGUCAACUGAGGAUGCAACCAUUAGUGGUUACAGAAAAGUAUAAAGACACAUCACUAUAAUGUCUAAAAGUUCAGCAUUUUAUACUGCUUAUAGAAAUGCACCAGCUGCUGACAGUUAAGUUCUACUGGGUUGAAAUUUAACUUAAGACAUUGAUUAUUUUUGUGCAUCAUAUUUGCAGUUUUUUAUUCUAUCAACAGCUGUAAUGGUACUUUGAAGCUGUUGAUUCAGUACUGUUUAUAAGAUAUGGUUUUUUUGUAGCACAGCCUGUUUCAGAUCAAUAAAAUAUGAAGAUAAGUGGUGAUAAAUGAGUACUUUCAUAAUGAAUACUUUCAUAAAUCUAGCCUUAUUAUCAUACUGGUUUAUUGUGUUUGUCCUUCAGAGAACAAACGAGAUACCUCAUCCUUUAUGUCUAGUAGCAUGGCUAUAGUUCUUUGCACUACAAAAUACACCUAUAUCAGAUUUCUUAUUAAGGGGAUUAUCACAGAAGCACUGUGCUAUCUGGCAAAUGAAUCAUAGACCUAAGAAUUUAUACUAUUACUACUCUUACUAGAAAAUCCAUUUAAUCCAUGCGUUCCUGUUUUCCUGUCAACAGAAGGGAACGCUUAUUUAAUCUCUCACAGACUGAUACAAAGCUUAAUCAAUACAUACAGCAUUCUACCAGUGUUAGUUCUUGUUUGGAUCACUAAAGCUUCAACAGUUUUUCCAAAAACCUAGAAUUUAGGCUUGAUAGUGACAUUUGUGUUUAGAAAAAAAGUAUAUCUAAACCAUCGAUUUUAAACCUACAGCUUUUAUGUUAGAU
This is a long non-coding RNA of Lagopus muta (rock ptarmigan), 2337 nucleotides long. RefSeq lists it as uncharacterized. Lineage: Eukaryota; Metazoa; Chordata; Aves; Galliformes; Phasianidae. The transcript has 4 exons. The record is from RefSeq and is a predicted model, not a curated record.